GCCCUCUCCAUUGUGGGGGCUGAUUUGCUGGCUUCGUUUACUAUUUAUAAAAACCUGUUGCUGUUUGAUAUCAGCUCCCAGGAGAGAGCCACUGAGUGGCCAACUACAAAAUGGGACAGAUAUUAAGCCCUUUUAUUCUCAGCUCCUCUGAACUUAUAGAUGUAUAGACACACAUGCACACAUGCACAUGUACAUACACACACACACACACAUACACACACAUACACACACAGAUGGUUAUGCAUUCAACUCACUCAAGAUGAGAGGUCAAGUGCCUACCUCGCUUGCCAGAAAUUGGCUUUUACUCCAUCUCCACACGAUCAUGGUCCUGACCCUCUGGUAUUCGCUGUAAUAGAAAUCAUGUCAAGAAUCAACUAUUUACAGUGCUUGUGUUGCGUCCAGGGGAAACAUCAUUCAUUGGCCAUUGGGAGUCCCAUAUUUAUUUUCCCCAAAGCAAAAAUGAGGUGGAAUUUCUUGUCCCCAGUGAAGUAGCUUCUCACAGCUGGGCCACCAAGUGGUGCCCUUCUUGGACAGGACACCCAGCCAGCCCUGAGUGAGGACAUGGCCAGCACAUGCUGCAGACCACGGCACUAGUCAGGCUGGACAGGGGUACCCUGCAAUGACCAACUCACCCUCAAAAAAUUCAGAGCCUGAACGUGACAGUGGUGUGUGGGUCAGGGUCUGCAGGACGGUCAAGGGAGCUGUGCUCUGUGCCAUUCAGGAGCUGACAGCAGCCCCUGAGUCUUCCAGCUAUAUACUCUGGAAUAUCUCACCUCCACCAUUAGUGUGGAAGACAAAGAGGGCACUUGGAUAUCCGCCCCCCAACCUGGAAGUAGAGCACAUCACUUCCUCUCAUGGCUCUUUGGUCAGACCUCAUCAUUUGACCUCAUCUAUCUAAAAGGGACAGAAAAUAAGUGGUGGUAGGUAAUAUAUUUGGGGAUCAGGAAGUGCUUCUGCCACUGCCGGUCGGCAGAAACUUCUAGACCAUGAGAGCUAAAGCAACCUUCCUAGUCCUUGGUGGGGACGAGUGGGAAAUUCUAAGCUUCAAUUAAGGAGAAAGCACAGAUGCCUAAGGACUUCCAGGUGCAUCUCUUCCCAAUAAAAAAAAAAAAGGCUAAGGUCUUGAUAAAUGGUUGAUGGAUGAGGAGCACGGGCCAAGCAGGGCUGGAGAACUGGGAGGCCAUCAUAAUUGAUAAGCAGUAGAAAUGAUCCUAUGACUUCAUGGCAAGAUCAGAGUGAAUUGAGCACUCUCACUGGAGCCCUGAGGCCCCACACAAGUACUCUGGCUGCUCCAAAGCAGCCAUGUUGUGAGGAAGCCCACAUCCCCUGUGGAGAAGCCACAUGAACACCAGGAACAAGAGAUUUCCCAGCCAGCCCCAGAGGCAGCAGCCCUCCCUUCUCCCAGUUCUAGCCAUUGUCUGAACUGCAACUGCACGAGAGACCUAGAACCAUCCACGCAAGCCCUUUGCAAUUUCCUGUCUCACGGAAACUGUGAGAGAUAAUAAAAUGACACUUGCUUUAAGCAUAGCCAGUGGCGUGCUGGUCAAUUUUUAUUUAAUGUAAGGAUGUCCAGGAAAAAAAUAAAAAGCAACCCUGAUUUGUAGUGUUUACCUAUUUCUGUGGUAUCAAUACUCCCACAAAGGCCAAUCUCCAGCUACCAACGAGGUGAAUAGAAUUGGAACGAGAGGCACACCAUGGCUCUCACAUCCCUGGGGGAGCUCUAGAGCAAACCCUGGAAGAGAACAGUCCAGAGCUAAGGGAUCUCCUGAUAGGUUCCGGAGCUCCUUCCCAGUUUACAGGAUGGGGCCAGAGCCAGCAUCUGCUAAGACUGCUGGAGCACACCGUGCCAAGGUUGAGACCGAGGCCCUCUGGCUUCCUGGUGGACACCCAGAGCAUGGCACCUCUGUCGACCCUGAGGCCCUAAUUUGAUAGUAUCUUCUUAUCACUUCUGACAGGUGGGUAUGCAGACAGCUGUGGGCAAUUAAGCCAUAGCCCCUUGGGGUGUUGAAGACCAUCUAGGUCUAGGCUGGGAAGCCUGCCCUGAAGGAUCUGGCCAGUGCCCUUCCCCAAGAAGCCUGGGGAGUGUGGGGCCUGCUGUGAGAACGAGGUCCUGUUUCCAAGGAGACAAGACUCACCACCCACCAACUAGGAGAAACAUCUAUCUGGCCCGCACCAACAGGACCCAUAGGAAAGAUCAGGAGAAUGGCUCUGUCAUUUUCCAAAUUAAUAAAUUUUAUUAUGGGACAAAUGAACUCAUCAGAAGAGAAAAUUAAAAUUACAUCCAAUCCCCACUAAACGCACUGAAAAUUUUUGGAUAUUUUGUUCAGUCUUUUGCAAUAGACAGCAUAAAUCCCUUGUACAUCCCACAUCUUUCAUUAGUAUUCCGUUGUCUCAUGCCCGCAUAUCCUUAGAUCUUACAAAAAAUAACGACUGCAUAAUAUUCUAUCAUUUGGUAUUACUACUGAAGACUAGAUGGGUAGACUGUUUCCUGACAUUUUAAAGUGACCCCCCAAAUGGAUAGCCCUGUGUUCUUGUCUUAUUGUAGAGCAUUUGUAGAAAGGGGAAGACAUGAUAUUGGGAUGGGGCAUCUUUAAGGCUCUGGGUGAACAUUUUUGUUUCCCAGUGUCUGUCUGUGUGAACUCCUACCAGCAAUGGGCAAGGGAACAUAUCUUAUAGGAAUUUGAUGGGCAAAAUGAAUUUUCAUGGUUGAUUUGAUUUAUAUUUUUACAAUACAUUUAAAUAUUUUUUACAUAUUUCUUGAACAUUUAUGUUUUUGUCAUUAAUCACUUUUGCCUAUCUUAACAUUGUUAUCUCUUUCUUCACUUUGCAGUCACCUUUACAUAAACAUAAGAUUAAUUCUUUGUGAAAUUUGUCAUAAACAUCAUCUUAGUGUUGCUGAUAUCUAGACACAUGAAUAUUUCUGUGGUCAAACUCAAUAAUCGUUUACUUUUAAGUCUGUUUCUAAAGUCCCCCUCUCAGGAUCUGAAGUUUACCUGUGUCUUCCACUUUUAUGCUACUUUUUGCAUAUAACAGCUAAAUACAUGUGGAAUUUAUUUUGGUAUACGGGAAAAGCUAAGGAUUAGCUCUAAUUUUUUCCACAUGGUUGGUCCUAACAUCAUUUAUUGACUAAUCUCCUUUUCCUCAUGGAUCUUUACCAUGUACUAAUUUUUUAUCUAUAUCAUCUCUAUUAGGGCCUGUGUUUCAGACAUUUGUUAUAUUGACCCAUCUGUUCAUGGUUUAAUUUGGCAUUGAAGUUUUAUAAUACGUUUUAUUUUUCUUCUUUCUCCCCAGUGAUAUAAUACUUUUAACAUACUUUCUCAAAAUAUUCUGGACUGUAUCAAGCUACCAAAAUUUUCUUAAAAGGAAUAAUCCAGGCUACUAUCGGCAUGGUCCGAAUAUAAUUCUUGUUGACCUGAGCAGUGACUUACCAGGUUUACAACUUUCUUCUGGAAACUGUUCUUUAGAUACCUGUCCCCUUACUCUCACCCCACUCAUACUGGCCUCAAUAAAUCAAUUUGCAUUGUCACCCUCUUCUUAGGAAGGGAAUUAUUUGCUAGUGGCCAGAAAUCAGAAAGUUUCAACCAGUCACCUUCAUUGCAUGGAGGCAGGGGAAUUCCCAUUAAGGAGACUAGUAGCUGCUCAUUAAAGAGCUCUCAGCACUGGUACAAGCCCUACUUGUAACUUCAUCACUGAAUUACCCUGGGUGUGCUGCUGUACCACCCUGGAACUCUGCCGCACCAUCUGCAAAACGAGGCUUCCAGACUGGACACCCUCCCAACUCUACCACAGUACCCCUGGUGGCUGGCAGCCCCUUCCAAAUCCUGCAAUGAAAUCUUCUGGUUCUGCUUUUGUUUCCCUUCAACCAGAAUUUGUCAGAACUCUUCAGUGGCACCAGGUUCAGACAGCUCUGUGUUCUCCUGAGCCUUCUUGCUGUGUGAACAGUCCUUUCAAGAUACCUGGGAUAAAAGUGUCCCCAGUGCAUGAAAGCAGAUAAAAAGCAACGUCUGUACGGUAGAAGGAAGUUGGGCUUUUCUUCCUUCCCUUCCUCUCAUUAGUUUAACUUCUGACCGAUUUAAACAUUUGUUACACUUUCCCUGGAAAAUUAAAAGUUUAAUUUGGAAAGCAGUCAUGGAGUAAAAAAUCUGUACGAUGCAAAAUAUGGUCGCUAAUGAGUGGCACUGAUUUAACAGGACAUAAGGAAGAAAAAUAACAAAUUUUGGAAGAAAGUAAGCAAUUUCACAAUGUUUCCACUUGUUUCAAAUCCAACUUGCUUCCAUUGCUUCAAGGGUUAGCUUGGAAAUUUUUCUCAUGAAAGCGCAGUAAAUGUUCCCGAAGACAGUUUAUUUUCUGGGCUUGGAAUUAAUGGGUAGAAAUGACAAAUUUCCUAGAACAACUUCUGGGAAAUUUGUGUUGAUGGUUGCUUCUGAGUUCAAGCUUUCAUUCCCCCCUCCAGCAAGAAAUAUACCAAGUCGUGCAACCACAUGGCACAGAGCAGCAAAUUCUGG
Molecule: long non-coding RNA, 4505 nt
Filed under: Marmota monax (woodchuck)
Lineage: Eukaryota; Metazoa; Chordata; Mammalia; Rodentia; Sciuridae
Source: RNAcentral